This 378-nucleotide long non-coding RNA is filed under the name Monodelphis domestica (gray short-tailed opossum). RNAcentral describes it as "lncRNA (ENSMODG00000038018.1)". Lineage: Eukaryota; Metazoa; Chordata; Mammalia; Didelphimorphia; Didelphidae. The record is from RNAcentral.
GAAGUUGUCAAGAUAUGAACAGAAUAAGACAAAGGGGUAAGGGACUUGAUGGUAAAAAUAUUGCAAAUAGAAACUAACUCUGGGGUAAGCAUUUCAAAGGGAUGAAAAUGAGCACAGAGCAUGGCUGUUGGACAGAAACAAUAGGGAGGGGUGAAGUGAAUGGAGGUCCCAACCAGAACACAGGAGAAAUGAGACAGCAGAGAAUUGGAAGUCUAAGAAAGGAAGGUGAAUUUGGAAUCAUGGAAGUUGAUCAUGAGUUUGCCUUUCACCAGUUUCACAUUUUUGGGAUAAGGAAACUGAGGAUGAGAGAGGAUACAUGACUUGCCUAAUAACAUCUCCUGGAUAAUAAAGAUUCAAAUUGAGGUCUUCUUGGGUCCA